Molecule: long non-coding RNA, 841 nt
Filed under: Marmota monax (woodchuck)
Lineage: Eukaryota; Metazoa; Chordata; Mammalia; Rodentia; Sciuridae
Source: RNAcentral
UUUUUAAGGAGUUACUCUGUGGUGUUAGUUAUCCAUUGCUUCAUAAUAAGUUAACUCAAACUUCAUGGUAAGUUUGAGGAAAAUUAGUGGCUUCAAAGAGCAAUAAGAUUUUAAUAUUAUCACAGUUUGUGUCAGGAAUUUACAAAGGACUCAAAUGAGGGGGUGAUAAAAUUGUAGCCAGUUGUUGGCUGGGGCAACGGUUAAGGAAGACUUCACUGAGGUUAGAAGAUCCAUUGCCAAAGUAGUUCCCUAAUGCAGCAAAUUGCUGCUGUUGGCUGAGGGUGUCAUUUCUUUCCGUGGAGGUCUUCUAUUCAGAGAGAACGAUUUGAGAGAUCAAGGUAAUUCCUUUUAUGCCUUUUAUGACCUUGCUUUAGAAAUCACACACUGGCUAGCAAAGCAACAAACCUUUAUCCUUUUUCUCAAAAAAAAAAAAAAAGAAAGAAAGAAAAAAGAAAAGAAAAAGAAAUCACACAGUGUCACUUUUGCUAUAUUCAAUUGUUUGAGGCAAUACACUUGGACUAGGGGUGAUCAAAGGAUAGGAGUAGACCUAGACACAUCUCUCAAAUGUCAAGGGUUGACAUUGUCUGAGAAAUGUUAGUGUCCCAUAUAAUAAGAACAGAUGGUCUGUAAUAUAUAUUGGUGCAGCUGUCUUUGGAAAAUACAGUCUGCUACAACUGCAAAGGAGAAAUUGAAAGUCAUCAUUCCAGGGACUAAGUAGUAAACAAGAUAUGACCCCUGCUUCAGAGAGCUUAGGGUCUAACAGAAAGGAAGAGAAGGGGAGGGAAUGAAUGUUAGACACUGUGACCAGAAGGUUAAGUAAACCCAGAGAAGGGAUAAUCAC